UACAGAGGUCUCAACCGUUGUUCGGAUUUACUGGGCGUAAAGGGCGCGUAGGCGGCCACCGCAAGUCGGUUGUGAAAUCUCUGGGCUUAACCCAGAAAGGUCAACCGAUACUGCGGGGCUAGAGUGCAGAAGGGGCAACUGGAAUUCUCGGUGUAGCGGUGAAAUGCGUAGAUAUCGAGAGGAACACCUGCGGCGAAGGCGGGUUGCUGGGCUGACACUGACGCUGAAGCGCGAAAGCUAGGGGAGCGAACGGG
This 254-nucleotide ribosomal RNA is filed under the name uncultured bacterium. Its description in RNAcentral is "partial 16S ribosomal RNA". It matches the Rfam family "Bacterial small subunit ribosomal RNA", at positions 524 to 776 of the family's 1533-position model. The record is from RNAcentral.